GUUUCAAUUCCUCAUAGGCAGGCUAUCGGCCACCGGGUUAACCUGAGCCGGGGUCUCGGUCGCCGG
This 66-nucleotide small RNA is filed under the name Acididesulfobacillus acetoxydans. RNAcentral's name for it is "Peptococcaceae bacterium INE non-coding RNA". The record is from RNAcentral. Lineage: Bacteria; Bacillati; Bacillota; Clostridia; Eubacteriales; Peptococcaceae.